Molecule: long non-coding RNA, 640 nt
Organism: Rhincodon typus (whale shark)
Lineage: Eukaryota; Metazoa; Chordata; Chondrichthyes; Orectolobiformes; Rhincodontidae
Exons: 2
Source: RefSeq, a predicted model, not a curated record
AUAAGAUGUAUCAACAGAUGAUAAUAAGAGCAAUCUUUUCGAAUAUAGGACACAUGUUAACAAUGUACAUUUUUCCUCCAACUCUUUUCCAAUUAUACAUAUCAUAACUCUUCCACGAGCGUUUGUUAAAUACGUGCUAUUCCGUUUGAACGAGAGCUUUGUACUAAAAAAUCUUGCAGGUGCAGCAGAGACCUUGGCCGGAGUCUGCAGCUGAUUUUUUUUAUAUUCGAAAACAGUUACACUGUGUUGUUAAAUAAGCCGUCAAGGUCUUUCAAACGGGAUAAAUGUGGAUGAGAGACAGCUUCUCGGUAUUCUGUCUGCAAGAGGGGACUGCACAGCACUUGCUGGGACUUCGCCUGUACUCGUUGUUCCUUUUUCCUAUGCACAUACCUCUUUGAGAAUUUGGUCUAAAGAGGCAUAGGGCAUGGGAAAAUGGGGCGAUGGAGGCUGCGUCUUCUGCCCGCAAGCCAUUGAAGAGAAGGAACCUGCGUCGUUCUAGGUCAACGCCAACCGCUUUGCUAAAGUGGCUGGCAAAAUCUCUGAACGUCUUUCUUUUUCAACAUGCUACUUUAAAAUAAAAUCAAACUGCCGAAAACUUUAUAUUUCUAUGCAUUGCUGCAAUAAAGUCGUCAAUAUUCAA